Tetranychus urticae (two-spotted spider mite) is the source of this 515-nucleotide long non-coding RNA. RefSeq lists it as uncharacterized. The record is from RefSeq and is a predicted model, not a curated record. Lineage: Eukaryota; Metazoa; Arthropoda; Arachnida; Trombidiformes; Tetranychidae.
UGGACUCCAUUUAACAGAUAGAUAUUAUCCAGUAAGACUAGAUACCAGUUGUUUAUUUAAUUGAAUUUUAAUGAAUUUGGGUUAAUUCUUGAAUUUCUUUUUUAAUUCAACCUCAAUUACCAUUAUGAAGAUGACAAUGCUGACUAGGAUUAGGCUGAGCUUGAACAGUGGGUGGACCAUAAAUCUCAUCAACGGUGAAGACUGGAAUUUUGAUUUUGUGUUUUCUGGAAACAUUUUUUUGCCAGUGACAAGAUUUAAAAAUACCAUGGAAACUUCAAAUCUUCAGGAUUCAAGUUGAUGACGAUGGUGAUGUGGAAAUUGAAUACAAGGAAUUUGCUUGAUAACAAAGCAAAAAAAAUGAUGACAAAAAUGGAAGACAAAAGGUUAAAAGUGAUGAAUAUGAGGAAAAUGUUACCUGAGAUGAAACAAGCAUUCAAGCUAACAGUGUAAUUGAAAUUAACAGAUAAUUCAAAUUCUCUGCAUAACUUUUUUUGCCUCUUCCACCAUCAACUUAA